RNAcentral lists this ribosomal RNA (396 nucleotides) under uncultured bacterium. Its description in RNAcentral is "partial 16S ribosomal RNA". It matches the Rfam family "Bacterial small subunit ribosomal RNA", at positions 523 to 918 of the family's 1533-position model. The record is from RNAcentral.
CUACAGAGGGUGCAAGCGUUAAUCGGAUUUACUGGGCGUAAAGCGCGCGUAGGUGGCUAAUUAAGUCAAAUGUGAAAUCCCCGAGCUUAACUUGGGAAUUGCAUUCGAUACUGGUUAGCUAGAGUAUGGGAGAGGAUGGUAGAAUUCCAGGUGUAGCGGUGAAAUGUGUAGAGAUCUGGAGGAAUACCGAUGGCGAAGGCAGCCAUCUGGCCUAAUACUGACACUGAGGUGCGAAAGCAUGGGGAGCAAACAGGAUUAGAUACCCUGGUAGUCCAUGCCGUAAACGAUGUCUACUAGCCGUUGGGGCCCUUGAGGCUUUAGUGGCGCAGCUAACGCGAUAAGUAGACCGCCUGGGGAGUACGGUCGCAAGACUAAAACUCAAAUGAAUUGACGGGG